Long non-coding RNA from Solanum dulcamara, 744 nucleotides. RefSeq lists it as uncharacterized. Lineage: Eukaryota; Viridiplantae; Streptophyta; Magnoliopsida; Solanales; Solanaceae. The record is from RefSeq and is a predicted model, not a curated record. The transcript has 3 exons.
AAGCCUAAACUUUUUCUUCUCUAUUUUCUUGACCCAAGCUGCCACCCCUAAUUCUUACUCCCUCAUCUUCUCAGGCACUUUUCACCUCCAACAAACGACCUCAAGUUCGCUGAAACAACAACCAAACUCCAUCUCCGGCGAGCUAGCGAGCUCCAACCUCGCACAAUUGGCCACACACCCAUCUAACGAGUCCAUCUUUCCUAUUUUUCUUUUCCAUUUUUUGUUUUCACUUUCUAGUGAACACCACCAUCACUGGUGCACAACCAUAGUUGAAUAAACCAGUCCACCCAUACCACUACAACAAAAAUGAACUUGUUACCUUAGUCUCUAGUGAAACUAGGAGCUAGAAGGUCCAUGCUUUGCACUCCGUCUCAUUUUUCAGCCAGAUCUGGAGGGAACACUUCAUCUCAAGCAAACUUUGGUGACCAUUGCUAUAUUUGUACAUUUUACAGGCACCCACCUUCUAAUGCGGGUAUUUCAUUUAUAUUUUACAGGCACCCACCGUCUAAUGCAGGAAGCUCUAUCCAGAGUUCAGUCAUCACAAGGACGUAAUCAUCCUUUCACUCUAGCAAGUGCACAGUCUUGCAUUCCCAACUAUCACAACUCGAUAUUGGGGCAAUUUUGGAAGAGACAUCGGUAACAUAUGAAACCUUUCAACAGGACCAGAGUCGUCAACUCUAAACAACAAGACAAUAGGCUAUUUGCCUCAAUUUUCAAACUAUACAUGGCCCGAUCCUCAUCUAG